AGGUUAAGCUAAUAAGAGCACACGGAGGAUGCCUAGGCGCCAGGAGCCGACGAAGGACGUGGCGAACAACGAAACUGCCUCGGGGAGCUGUAAGCAAGCUUUGAUCCGGGGGUGUCCGAAUGGGGAAACCCAGCUGUGGUAAUUCGCAGUUACUCAUACCUGAAUACAUAGGGUGUGUAGAGGCAGACCAGGGGAACUGAAACAUCUAAGUACCCUGAGGAAGAGAAAACAAUAGUGAUUCCGUCAGUAGCGGCGAGCGAACGCGGAACAGCCUAAACCUAAGAGCUUGCUCUUAGGGGUUGUGGGACGUCUCACAUGGAGUUACAAAGGAAUAUGGUAGGUGAAGAGGUCUGGAAAGGCCCGCGAUAGAGGUAAAAGCCCUGUAACCUAAACUGUAUUCUCUCCGAGACGGAUCCCGAGUAGUGCGGGGCACGUGAAACCCCGUAUGAAUCCAGCAGGACCAUCUGCUAAGGCUAAAUACUACCUGGCGACCGAUAGUGAAACAGUACCGUGAGGGAAAGGUGAAAAGCACCCCGGAAGGGGAGUGAAAUAGAACCUGAAACCGUGUGCUUACAAAAAGUCAGAGCCCUAUUAAUGGGUGAUGGCGUGCCUUUUGUAGAAUGAACCGGCGAGUUACGUUUAACAUGCAAGGUUAAGCCGAGAAGGUGGAGCCGCAGCGAAAGCGAGUCUGAAUAGGGCGACUUAGUAUGUGGACGUAGACCCGAAACCGUGUGAUCUACCCCUGUCCAGGGUGAAGGUGCGGUAACACGCACUGGAGGCCCGAACCCACGUACGUUGAAAAGUGCGGGGAUGAGGUGGGGGUAGCGGAGAAAUUCCAAUCGAACUCGGAGAUAGCUGGUUCUCCCCGAAAUAGCUUUAGGGCUAGCCUCGGUAUAAGAGUAGUGGAGGUAGAGCACUGAUUGGGUGCGGGGUCCGCAAGGAUUACCAAGCUCAGUCAAACUCCGAAUGCCAUAUACUUAUUGCCGGGAGUCAGACAGUGAGUGCUAAGAUCCAUUGUCAAAAGGGAAACAGCCCAGACCAUCAGCUAAGGUCCCCAAGUGUGUGUUAAGUGGGAAAGGAUGUGGAGUUGCACAGACAACCAGGAUGUUGGCUUAGAAGCAGCCACCAUUGAAAGAGUGCGUAAUAGCUCACUGGUCGAGUGACUCUGCGCCGAAAAUGUAACGGGGCUAAACACACCACCGAAGCUAUGGCUAGAUACGUAUGUAUCUGGGGUAGGGGAGCGUUGUGUAGGGGUUGAAGGUGUACUGAAAAGAGCGCUGGACACUACACAAGUGAGAAUGCCGGUAUGAGUAACGAAAAGAUCAGUGAGAAUCUGAUCCGCCGAAAGCCCAAGGUUUCCUGAGGAAGGCUCGUCCGCUCAGGGUAAGUCGGGACCUAAGGCGAGGCCGAAAGGCGUAGUCGAAGGACAACAGUUUGAAAUUACUGUACCACCGUAAUCCGCUAUGAGCGAUGGGGUGACGCAGGAGGGUAGUGACGCGGACUGAUGGAUGUCCGUCUAAGCAGUGAGGCUGAUGUGUAGGCAAAUCCGCACAUCAUUAAGGCUGGGCUGUGAUGGGGAGCGAAAAUUGUAGUAGCGAAGGUCAUGAUCUCACACUGCCAAGAAAAGCCUCUAGCCAGGAGAAGGUGCCCGUACC
This 1655-nucleotide ribosomal RNA is filed under the name Paenibacillus odorifer. Its description in RNAcentral is "bacterial LSU rRNA". It matches the Rfam family "Bacterial large subunit ribosomal RNA", at positions 1 to 1648 of the family's 2925-position model. Lineage: Bacteria; Bacillati; Bacillota; Bacilli; Caryophanales; Paenibacillaceae. The record is from RNAcentral.